CGAAGGGGGCUAGCGUUGUUCGGAUUUACUGGGCGUAAAGCGCACGUAGGCGGAUUGUUAAGUCAGGGGUGAAAUCCCGGAGCUCAACUCCGGAACUGCCUUUGAUACUGGCAAUCUAGAGUCCGGAAGAGGUGAGUGGAACUCCUAGUGUAGAGGUGGAAUUCGUAGAUAUUAGGAAGAACACCAGUGGCGAAGGCGGCUCACUGGUCCGGUACUGACGCUGAGGUGCGAAAGCGUGGGGAGCAAA
This 247-nucleotide ribosomal RNA is filed under the name uncultured bacterium. RNAcentral's name for it is "partial 16S ribosomal RNA". It matches the Rfam family "Bacterial small subunit ribosomal RNA", at positions 526 to 772 of the family's 1533-position model. The record is from RNAcentral.